Molecule: ribosomal RNA, 253 nt
Filed under: uncultured bacterium
Lineage: Bacteria
Description: partial 16S ribosomal RNA
Rfam family: Bacterial small subunit ribosomal RNA
Source: RNAcentral
UACGGGGGGGGCAAGCGUUGUUCGGAAUUACUGGGCGUAAAGGGCUCGUAGGUGGCCAACUAAGUCAUACGUGAAAUCCCUCGGCUUAACCGGGGAACUGCGUCUGAUACUGGAUGGCUUGAGGUUGGGAGAGGGAUGCGGAAUUCCAGGUGUAGCGGUGAAAUGCGUAGAUAUCUGGAGGGACACCGGUGGCGAAGGCGGCAUCCUGGACCAAUUCUGACACUGAGGAGCGAAAGCCAGGGGAGCAAACGGG